AAAAAAUCUAGCCUAGGUGGCGAAGCCCAGUGUUUUGUGAAAUAUUGUGUUUUGUCAUCAGAAUGCCAACCUUUUGUGAACCGAACUUGUCUCUGGCAGGGGGGUAGUGAAAACUACCUGUUAGUAUUGCUUUUUGCAGUGCCGUGAACAUCCUGCCAAACACUUGCAAACUUUUGAUUUUAAUUUUUGUCUGACACAAUAUGUAUUAAUAUACAAAA
RNAcentral lists this unclassified non-coding RNA (218 nucleotides) under uncultured fungus. RNAcentral's name for it is "sequence contains ITS1, 5.8S rRNA gene". Lineage: Eukaryota; Fungi. The record is from RNAcentral.